This 377-nucleotide ribosomal RNA is filed under the name uncultured cyanobacterium. RNAcentral describes it as "bacterial SSU rRNA". It matches the Rfam family "Bacterial small subunit ribosomal RNA", at positions 376 to 770 of the family's 1533-position model. The record is from RNAcentral. Lineage: Bacteria; Bacillati; Cyanobacteriota.
CGAAAGCCUGACGGAGCAACGCCGCGUGAGGGAGGAAGGCCCUUGGGUUGUAAACCUCUUUUCUCAAGGAAGAUAAUGACGGUACUUGAGGAAUCAGCAUCGGCUAACUCCGUGCCAGCAGCCGCGGUAAUACGGAGGAUGCAAGCGUUAUCCGGAAUAAUUGGGCGUAAAGCGUUCGUAGGUGGUGAUGUAAGUCUGCUGUUAAAGCGUGUAGCUUAACUACAUAUAGGCGGUGGAAACUACAUGACUAGAGUGCGUUCGGGGCAGAGGGAAUUCCUGGUGUAGCGGUGAAAUGCGUAGAUAUCAGGAAGAACACCGGUGGCGAAGGCGCUCUGCUAGGCCGUAACUGACACUGAGGGACGAAAGCUAGGGGAGCG